CCUACGGUGUGCUGCAGUGGGGAAUAUUGGGCAAUGGGCGCCAGCCUGACCCAGCAACGCCGCGUGAAGGAAGAAGGCUUUCGGGUUGUAAACUUCUUUUAUCAGGGACGAAGCUAGUGAUGGUACUUUAUGACUCAGCCACGGCUAACUACGUGGCAGCAGCCGCGGUAAUUCGGAGGUGGCAAGGGUUCUACGGAAUUACUGGGUGUAAAGGGAGUGUAGGCGGGGGUGCAAGUCAGAUGUGAAAACUAUGGGCUCAACCCAGAGCCUGCAUUUGACACUGUACUGCUUGAGUGCUGGAGAGGCAAUCGGAAUUCCGUGUGUAGCGGUGAAAUGCGUAGAUAUACGGAGGAACACCAGUGGCGAAGGCGGAUUGCUGGACAGUAACUGACGCUGAGGCGCGAAAGCGUGGGGAGCAAACAGGAUUAGAUACCCUUGUAGUC
RNAcentral lists this ribosomal RNA (443 nucleotides) under uncultured bacterium. RNAcentral describes it as "partial 16S ribosomal RNA". It matches the Rfam family "Bacterial small subunit ribosomal RNA", at positions 338 to 795 of the family's 1533-position model. The record is from RNAcentral.